CCUACGGGGGGCAGCAGUAGGGAAUCUUUCACAAUGGGCGAAAGCCUGAUGGAGCAACGCCGCGUGCAGGAUGAAGGCCUUCGGGUUGUAAACUGCUUUUAUAAGCGAGAAAUAUGAUGGUAACUUAUGAAUAAGGAUCGGCUAACUACGUGCCAGCAGCCGCGGUCAUACGUAGGAUCCGAGCAUUAUCCGGAGUGACUGGGUGUAAAGAGUUGCGUAGGUGGCAUAAUAAGUAGCUAGUGAAAUCUGGUGGCUCAACCAUUCAGACUAUUAGCGAAACUGUUAAGCUCGAGACCGUUAGGGGUAACUGGAAUGUCUAGUGUAGGAGUGAAAUCCGUAGAUAUUAGAAGGAACACCAAUAGCGUAGGCAGGUUGCUGGGACGGUUCUGACACUAAGGCACGAAAGCGUAGGGAGCAAACGGGAUUAGAUACCCCAGUAGUC
RNAcentral lists this ribosomal RNA (442 nucleotides) under uncultured bacterium. RNAcentral's name for it is "partial 16S ribosomal RNA". It matches the Rfam family "Bacterial small subunit ribosomal RNA", at positions 338 to 795 of the family's 1533-position model. The record is from RNAcentral.